GAUGAACGCUGGCGGCGUGCCUAAUACAUGCAAGUCGAGCGAACAGACGAGGAGCUUGCUCCUCUGACGUUAGCGGCGGACGGGUGAGUAACACGUGGAUAACCUACCUAUAAGACUGGGAUAACUUCGGGAAACCGGAGCUAAUACCGGAGAAUAUAUUGAACCGCAUGGUUCAAUAGUGAAAGACGGUGUUUCUGUCACUUAUAGAUGGAUCCGCGCCGCAUUAGCUAGUUGGUAAGGUAACGGCUUACCAAGGCAACGAUGCGUAGGCGACCUGAGAGGGUGAUCGGCCACACUGGAACUGAGACACGGUCCAGACUCCUACGGGAGGCAGCAGUAGGGAAUCUUCCGCAAUGGGCGAAAGCCUGACGGAGCAACGCCGCGUGAGUGAUGAAGGUCUUCGGAUUGUAAAACUCUGUUAUUAGGGAAGAACAAAUGUGUAAGUAACUAUGCACGUCUUGACGGUACCUAAUCAGAAAGCCACGGCUAACUACGUG
This 497-nucleotide ribosomal RNA is filed under the name uncultured bacterium. Its description in RNAcentral is "partial 16S ribosomal RNA". It matches the Rfam family "Bacterial small subunit ribosomal RNA", at positions 28 to 507 of the family's 1533-position model. The record is from RNAcentral.